GUGUUUUGUUUUUUUCAACGCUGAAAUGGAAGAAUUGGUAGUUUCAUAGUCUUCUCAAAAGCACACCGGAUCCCAGCGUAGCAUGAAUUCAUACUUCCAUAAUCCCAGCAUUCAGGAGGCAAAGACCAGGAGGAUAGAGAAUUCCAGAUAGAGACGUAGCAAGAAAGCAAUCAACCAGCCAUCAAAAAAACAGGUCACUGGAGGCCCCUUUGCUGAUCAGUGGGCUUUGGUGUCGGUGGAACAGGCAGCAGGGGAAGAAUGUUGAUACCUGUGGGGAACUGGAGGAAGGUCGGAUCUAGAAUGUACAAGACAAGAAGGAAGAAGAAAGGCUGUAGCUCAGGGGGAAGAAGAUACAUGCACACAAAUGCCAAUUCUCCCAUACUGGCUAACACCAUCAGCCAGCAGGAAGUUAAACUACAACCUGAGAUGAGUAGAUUGGUGGACUUAAAAGAUGUUUAAAAAAUAAGUCAUGUAUAGAUUUUCCAAGGCUGGUAAAUUUUGAGUGAUCUUACAACAAUAUGAGUUUUAGGACAUUUUAUCAGAACUAAGAAUUGAGAUCCCCCCCACCCCCACUGACCAUUUGGCCUCAGCCCAUGAGAGUCAAGGAUGUGGUGCACAACUUCCUAGCAAGAAUGGACAUAGACCUGAUAGAGUGUCUGAGUCUUUUUCUGACUUCCAACAAAAUACUGCAGACUGGAUCAUUAAAGCAACACAAAUGUAUUUUCUUGCUGUUCUAGAGCCUCUGGUGAGUUUCCCAUGAGACUUCUCUACAUGGGGCUUCUCAACAUGGUGCACUUUUUCGUCCCAUCGCACCACUAUGGGUAAAACGAGUGGAAAGAGAAUCUCUCUCCUCCUUACAACCACAUUGGCCCUAGGUUAAGCACUCACUGUUACAGGCUCACUCCACUUUAAUUACUUGUGUAAAGGCCUCUUCUUCAGGCAGGCACUGUGAGCGCUAAGGAUUUCAACACAUGAAUGUUAAGAGGCCCCAAUUCAGUUCAUAAGCAGAUGGAUUUUUUUUGGUAAGAAGUUUUUAGAGUUUACAUAUGAAGUCUCUUCGGAUCUGCUGGAUUAGAUUUCCUCCUACAUUAUGUAGCUCUGCUCCUCAAAUGUUUGUGGGUGGUGCGUAUAAAUGGUACUGAGAAUGUAGGAACCAAUACUGAUAUGGAACUGAGUAGAAAGACACAGGAAAUUUGUAAGUCUGGGGAUGGAGAACUCAAAGGCAGAGGAGCAGGCAUGCCGUAGACAGAUGUUAGCCCAGGGAACGAUUAAACCUGGAAACGUGCCAGAUGCAAACAAUCACAGAAGUUUACUGAUAACAUGUGGCAGGAUAUGAUGGAAGCAGCAAAGUGGGUGUGUGUGUUCUGUCUGAAUGCUGUGUCCCCGUAAAAUUCAUAUGUUCAAAUUCUAAUCCCUCAAACUGAUCAAGUAGUGAGAAUUCUAAAGAACUUUCAUGAGUAGAACUAAUUUACUUAUAAAGUAGACUUCUUAUGUUCUCUCUACCAACUCCGGAUGCAGAUGUCACUGUUUAUGAACAAGAAUUGACUGUCACCAGA
Mus caroli (Ryukyu mouse) is the source of this 1556-nucleotide long non-coding RNA. RefSeq lists it as uncharacterized. Lineage: Eukaryota; Metazoa; Chordata; Mammalia; Rodentia; Muridae. The record is from RefSeq and is a predicted model, not a curated record.